UACAAUGGAGAGUUUGAUCCUGGCUCAGGAUGAACGCUAGCUACAGGCUUAACACAUGCAAGUCGAGGGGAAACGACAUUGAAGCUUGCUUCGAUGGGCGUCGACCGGCGCACGGGUGAGUAACGCGUAUCCAAUCUGCCUCUGACUAAGGGAUAACCCGGCGAAAGUCGGACUAAUACCUUAUGAGGUUUUCAGCAGACAUCUAAUGAAAACGAAAGAUUUAUCGGUCAGCGAUGGGGAUGCGUCUGAUUAGCUUGUUGGCGGGGUAACGGCCCACCAAGGCAACGAUCAGUAGGGGUUCUGAGAGGAAGGUCCCCCACAUUGGAACUGAGACACGGCCCAAACUCCUACGGG
This 354-nucleotide ribosomal RNA is filed under the name Segatella salivae. RNAcentral describes it as "bacterial SSU rRNA". It matches the Rfam family "Bacterial small subunit ribosomal RNA", at positions 1 to 345 of the family's 1533-position model. Lineage: Bacteria; Pseudomonadati; Bacteroidota; Bacteroidia; Bacteroidales; Prevotellaceae. The record is from RNAcentral.